Molecule: ribosomal RNA, 445 nt
Filed under: Caulobacter sp. AEOC003
Lineage: Bacteria; Pseudomonadati; Pseudomonadota; Alphaproteobacteria; Caulobacterales; Caulobacteraceae
Description: bacterial SSU rRNA
Rfam family: Bacterial small subunit ribosomal RNA
Source: RNAcentral
UCUUAGGAUUGUAAAAUUCUUUCACCGGGGACGAUAAUGACGGUACCCGGAGAAGAAGCCCCGGCUAACUUCGUGCCAGCAGCCGCGGUAAUACGAAGGGGGCUAGCGUUGCUCGGAAUUACUGGGCGUAAAGGGAGCGUAGGCGGACUGUUUAGUCAGAGGUGAAAGCCCAGGGCUCAACCUUGGAAUUGCCUUUGAUACUGGCAGUCUUGAGUACGGAAGAGGUAUGUGGAACUCCGAGUGUAGAGGUGAAAUUCGUAGAUAUUCGGAAGAACACCAGUGGCGAAGGCGACAUACUGGUCCGUUACUGACGCUGAGGCUCGAAAGCGUGGGGAGCAAACAGGAUUAGAUACCCUGGUAGUCCACGCUGUAAACGAUGAGUGCUAGUUGUCGGCAGGCAUGCCUGUCGGUGACGCAGCUAACGCAUUAAGCACUCCGCCUGGGG